GACGAACGCUGGCGGCGUGCUUAACACAUGCAAGUCGAACGGAAAGGCCCUGCUUUUGUGGGGUGCUCGAGUGGCGAACGGGUGAGUAACACGUGAGUAACCUGCCCUUGUCUUUGGGAUAACUUCAGGAAACUGGGGCGAAUACCGGGUAGGAGCUCCUGCUGCAUGGGGGGGGUUGGAAAGUUUCGGCGUUUGGGGAUGGACUCGCGGCUUAUCCGCUUGAUGGUGGGGUAGUGGCUUACCAAGGCUGUGACGGGUAGCCGGCCUGAGAGGGUGAACGGCCACAUGGGGACUGAGAUACGGACCAGACUCCUACGGGCGGCAGCAGUGGGGAACAUUGCACAAUGGGCGGAAGCCUGAUGCAGCAACGCCGCGUGCGGGAUGACGGCCUUCGGGUUGUAAACCGCUUUCGCCUGUGACGAAGCGUGAGUGACGGUAAUGGGUAAAGAAGCACCGGCUAACUACGUG
This 468-nucleotide ribosomal RNA is filed under the name uncultured bacterium. RNAcentral describes it as "partial 16S ribosomal RNA". It matches the Rfam family "Bacterial small subunit ribosomal RNA", at positions 28 to 507 of the family's 1533-position model. The record is from RNAcentral.